Molecule: ribosomal RNA, 730 nt
Filed under: uncultured euryarchaeote
Lineage: Archaea; Methanobacteriati; Methanobacteriota
Description: bacterial SSU rRNA
Rfam family: Archaeal small subunit ribosomal RNA
Source: RNAcentral
CCCUCGGGAAACUGAGGUUAAUAUCUGAUAGGAGAUUUAUACUGGAAAGAUUAAUCUUUAAAAUUCGAGCCUAAGGAUGGGGCUGCGGUGGAUUAGGUUGUUGGCGGGGUAAUAGCCCACCAAGCCUUUGAUCCAUAGGGGCUCUUAGCGGAGAAGCCCCGAGAGGGAAUCUGAGACACUAUUCCCAGCCCUACGGGGUGCAGCAGUUAGGAAUAUUCUGCAAUGCGCGUAAGCGUGACAGAUUGAGUCAGAGUGCGCUUCAAUUUGGAGUGCUUUUGCUAAAUGUAAAAAGUUUGGCGAAUAAGGACUGGGUAAGACGAGUGCCAGCCGCCGCGGUAAUACUCGCGGUCCAAGUCGCAGCCAUUUUUAUUGGGUCUAAAACAUCCGUAGCUUGCUUGGUGAGUUCCUUGUGAAAUUCUAUAUCUCAAAUAUGGAGCGUGCAGGGAGUACUGCCAAGCUAGAGACUGGAAGACGUAACGAGUACGUUUGGAGUAGCGGUAAAAUGUGUUAAUCCCGGACGGACUAACAAUAGCGAAGGCACGUUACGAGGACAGUUCUGACAGUAAGGGAUGAAGGCUAGGGGCGCAAAACGGAUUAGAUACCCGUGUAGUCCUAGCAGUAAACACUGCACACUAAACAUUAGUACCUCCUCGAGAGGUAUUGGUGCUGAAGGGAAGCCGAAGAGUGUGCUACCUGGGAAGUAUAGUCGCAAGGCCGAAACUUAAAGGAA